This 48-nucleotide transfer RNA is filed under the name Valeriana supina. Its description in RNAcentral is "partial tRNA-Phe". It matches the Rfam family "tRNA", at positions 1 to 46 of the family's 71-position model. Rfam says of the family: Transfer RNA (tRNA) molecules are approximately 80 nucleotides in length. Their secondary structure includes four short double-helical elements and three loops (D, anti-codon, and T loops). Lineage: Eukaryota; Viridiplantae; Streptophyta; Magnoliopsida; Dipsacales; Caprifoliaceae. The record is from RNAcentral.
GUCGGGAUAGCUCAGUUGGUAGAGCAGAGGACUGAAAAUCCUCCUCUC